CUAAGUGCAAUGAUAGACACCAUAGACUUUUUAUGAACUAAGGAGUAAUUUUUUCUAGGAUUUUUCUUGUUUAGUUUACUGAUAACACGAUGGUUUGCUGUACAAUUAAUCUCUAACUACACUGAGGAGAGGACUGAUAUUCAUUCUUUGUUGCCAAAGCUUUUAUAUAUGCCACAUGUGCAGUGGUGAUACCAAUAUGACAAAUUGCAGAAUCAUCUGAUAAAUUGUAUUUACAUCCACCUUUGACCAUCUCACCAGCUUUCUGCCAAUAAUCUAUUUCCACUGGGAUUUAUUCAACAUUCCAAUCCUUGGAGCAGCUUCUAUCAUCUGCUAAUUUAAAAAAAAAAAAAAAAAAUCAACCUUCCAAAGAAAAAUUCCCUGCUUUUCUAGCCAAGGAAAUUUCUCUCCAGAAAAUAUGCUGGCCUGUGUGAAAGACUGGGCAAUAAUCAGAUAUACGCCCAUCUCAAAGCUUAGUUCUUUGCAAGCCUUCACAUUUUGGACACUUCCGACUUGAGUUAGAUAGGCUGCCUGGAGCUGUCCUGAGAUUCUCAGCAUUAAACUUGGAUGUGUUUACUUACAAAAUUCUGUUGGAAGACAGGUUUUAGUUCACGUGUGAGAGGACAGCCUUUCCACACCCUGCUCUCAGUAGAAACAGUGUUAUACUGCUCGGUACUUGAAAAAAAGUCUUCAGGUAUGGUACAGGUAUUUUUGCUGGAAGCCCUGGCCUUUUAGUACUUUGUGUCAUUGUUAUAUUGGUGUCCCUUAUUAGUAUUUCCAAAAGAAUUUAUUACUAUUCAGACUUCGGAAGACCAUCCCGUUAUUCUAACAAGACAUUUCAUUGACAGCGUAUUUAAGCUUUAACGGCCUCACAUGCUUAAUCAGAGACCUAUAUUUAAUCUUGGUGUUUUACAUUUACUUCAAAACUGCCUUCUGAAUCAAGAUGUUAGUUGGCUUUUGAGCAACUUUCUCAACCUAAGUCACGGGCCAUUUAGUCCCUCUUAAUGGUGGAUCUUAAGGGGAGCAUGAAACAAGUGGCUUCACAAAGCAGUUAGCUAUUUGCAGCUGCACUUUAUGAACUGCUUGGUUAAUGCUACUAAGGAGAGCAGCUAAAUAUGGGACUUCUAAUAUGAAAAAAUGAGAGCACCAGUAAAUAUGUGCAGUGGUUUGGGACAGCAGCCCGACAUCUGUGGUAUGAAGAGCUGGCCAGGGAAUAUGCUGCAACAGGCUAUGCUUUACAGUCUGCAGUAUUCUUGGCUCCGGCACCUUAUUCAACAGUAAAAAUUAAUGUGCAAUAUAAUGUAUUAUAGUCACCAUUAUUGUGAAAAUAUGAUCACAUGUGGAAGUAUUUCAUAAUCCUCUGCAAACAUAUCUUUGCUUUUAAAAAUGUACUUAUGCGCUGUUGUAAAAUAUUUCUUAUUGCAUAGCAGAAAAUGUACUUCUGAUUUUUUUUUUUUCAAAAACAUUUGCCCUAUCUCUUCAAACAAACAUUUUGAAGAGAUCACCAUUUUUGUGACUCAACCAAAGUGGAACCUCUUGAGCUGCAUCAAGCUGUUAGACAAGCCGCUUGCCAGCUGCCAACAUUCUUUUUAAAAUUGUUGGAGAUAUGGGGACAUACAGAGAAGUAAACAAGAGUAAACAUCUUUAAUUACUGGUAGGAAUACUCAAUACACAAUUGCCAAGUAGUCACUGGGGGGAAAACACAUUUUUUCCACAAUAAAAUUUAGUUACUGAGUUAAAUGGCAGACCAAUAAAAUUAGAAACUGAUGUUUUCUAAUUGAUUUAUGAGAGUAUACUGAGAAACACUAGAUAUUACUCACUAUUAUUGCUAAAUACAUACAAAAUUAUAACCAAGACCACCAAUAAAUACAAGCCAUGCUUUUAGGAGUGAUAUUUCAAUUGUGUUUUUGGAAUUAGUUUCAGUACACGGCAAUACAAUUACUAUUGUGGCAAGAACAGGACUGAUUUUAUUUUAUUUUAUUUUAUUUUAUUUUAUUUUAUUUUAUUUUAUUUUAUUUUUUUAUUAAGUGCUGGCAUCCAAUGAAAUUCCUGUUUGUGACAUCUCACUAAGCUGUCUGUGUUAUUUAAACUUUGUUUUAAUGCAAUAAAUUGUGCUUAAGAUGGGUAGUCUUGCACGGAUGAAUGUGGCAAACACAGAGAUUAAUUAAUCAAUUAAUCAGUGUUUCUUUCCAUGAAAAGAAAAUGCAGGGAAUAUGGAGGCAUGGAGUGGAGGAAAUGGAAGAAAAUAAUUCAAAUGUUUGCAGGUGAAAUAGGAAAUGAGUACAGAACUUUAUUCUUUUUUUUUCUUCUACUGGGGUUAAAGUGUCUUUUAAAUCUAUUUUAGUCAAGGAUCAAAUCUUCCUAAUCUUAACAUGAGGGAGUAACUGGCGUAUGUAAAGAAUCACUUCCUUGAGUAGAAAACAUGUUUAUUUAUCUUUUCAGUAUUUGACAAUAUGGUUGGUGUUUCUCUCAAACUUUUCUCUAAUCCUUCCUCUGCUUCUUGCAUUAAGUAAAAACCAUCUGGGAAACUAUAUUGCACUACACUAUGUAGGGAUGUGGUAUUUUACAGCAGUGCCAGAAUUUCUAAAUCUUG
RNAcentral lists this long non-coding RNA (2590 nucleotides) under Gallus gallus (chicken). Lineage: Eukaryota; Metazoa; Chordata; Aves; Galliformes; Phasianidae. The record is from RNAcentral.